AAAGAAAAAAAAAAAAAAAAGAUACCUUUGCUAUGUUCCCCAAACCAAUGGCUAAAUUAGAGACCAGUGUUCGCAGGUUGCUGAGAGACUAGGAGCUUUGCUCACGUGGUCUAUGUUAAUGUGUUCAACAGAUGACUGCUCAGGAGGAAACUUGUCUGUAUCUACUUAGUGCACAUCUUUUUUUUUUUUUUUUUUUUUUUCUUUUUAUUCCUCACUCUCUCCAUACUACAGCUUUGGUGCCACUUCCUGAGUUAUUUAGAUCCUUCCUGAUGCUGGACCAAAAUAAGUCCUUUACCUUUCCUGCUGAUGUUCUCUGGCAUGGUGUAAACCAGGCACGUGCCGCCCGCGGGACGCAUGCGGCCCAGCACGGCAGGCAAUGCGGCCCAUCCCCUCCCCGCUCCGUAAAGGCGGCGGCUCUUCCCGCGGAGCGGCCCCAGGCACGCGCCCAUCGCUCAGCAACAGCAAAACAGUCAGUGCGCUAUUAACGCUGCGUCGACUGAAAGCAGGGCGUGGGGGGGGGCAGUGCUGUGCAGUGCUGACUCCCGUGAUGGCAAAUAACUAUGUAUUUUGAUACGUUGGCUAGACACAGGGCUCUGAACAGCAAAGAGCACAGUCAUGCUUUCUGUUUUGAUAAAGGAAUUUGAAAACAGAAUCACAGAAGCAUGGAAUCAUAGAAUCCUUAGAGUUGGAAAGGACCUUUAAAGAUCAUCUAGUCCAACUCCCCUGCAGUGAACAAGGACUUGCAGAGCUCGAUCAGGUUGCACAGAGUCCCUUCCAGCCAGGCCUUGAAAGUCUCCAGGGACAAGGCAUCCACCACAUCUCUGGGCAACCUGUGCCAGUGCCUCACCACCCUCACUGUAAAAGACUUUUCCCUUACAUCCAACCUAAACCUACCCUCUUCAAGUUAGAAACCAUUUCCCCUUGUCCCAUCACAACAGACCCUGCUGAAGAGUCUGUCCCCUUCCUUCUUGUAGCCCCUCUUUAGAUACUGAAAAUCUGCUAUCAAGUGUCCCCGAAGCCUUCUCUUCUCCAGGCUGAACAGCCCCAGUUCUCCCAGCUUGUCCUCACAGGAGAGAUGUUCCAUCCCAUGGAUCGUUUUUGUGGCCCUCCUCUGGAUGCGCUCCAACAGGUCUAUGUCUCUCCUGUACUGAGGACUCCACAUCUGGAUGCAGUACUUCAGCCCUACAGCUACCUGCUGGACUCACCUUCUUCUGUCUCCCAUUCAGUUACUUGCCAACAGUGCCUAUCACAUUCAGAGCACAAAUUUUACCCCCAGGAACAUUUUCUCACUGUUCUUGCACAAGAGUACAACAUUGUGCGUUGUAUCCCUUGGAAGUAUAGUUCAGGGUUAAACUCCAACAUCAAGCAACAACUGAGAAGGAACAGUUGCACCACCUCCUUAUGUUUGAGUAAGAUUUUCUAUAUUCUAAUAAAAUUAGCGACUAGACCCUGAAUUUGAGUCUGAAAUGCUUCAUGCGUUUGGAGAUGUGUUUCAGCAGCAAAAAGCUCAUGAAAGCUACACGGUAACUUCCUUCUCUACUGAUUCUUGUUCCUUUUUUUUUUUUUUUUUUUUUUUCUUUUGCGUUGUGGACAGUUUAAAGCAAUCCUGGGAAAUGUUGCUUUUUUUUUUUCCCCAGUGAAAUUGUGCAUCUCUUGUAGCUUGGGUGGGGAUGGAGAAGAGUAAGACUACUCUGACUGACAUCUUGGCAUGAGAUUUGAGAACCUACCUAGAUUUCAGUAACCCUUUAGGUUACUAUUAAAUUAAAUGCAACAGCAGAGCCCAGGCUGAAGACAAAGAAAAGCUGAGAGGAUGUUGGGAAGAAAAGCAGGCAGCAAAUAACUUCUCAAGGAGCCAUACUGAAUCAUCCAGCUGCUUUUCUUGUUUCAUAAUGGAUGAAAGUCACCAUCUUUGCACACAACAAAAAAAGGAGUGAGCCAGCUCAGUGCAAACAAGACAUGAUGAUUUUCCAGAAACUGUUAGAUGGUCUGUUAAAAAAAAUUCCUUUAUGUAUGCCCCACUGCGUGUAGGGGCAGUAAUUCUCCAAAAUCUGUGUUCAAAUGUCCACUCCAUCCCUCCCUUGCCUUUUACUUUCUUUUGCAUUGUUCUCCUCUGUUGUCUGAUGCAUGCUCUUCUUUGCACGGUCAUGUCUCACUUCCACAUCUCUCCUGGGUACUCUUCUUGGAUGACAGCAUGUCUUUCUCACUUGCUUGAGGAACUUCCUCUCAACCAACGAAGCAGGCAAAGCCUCCUUCAGGUCAGUUCCUGGGUCCUCUCCGUUGACUGAACCUCUCUAAGCAUUUUUCUCCAGGCCAUCCUGAAUCAUUCACAUUUCUUCUCAGAAGCCUUUCUGAUUUGGCAUAUAUAUCCCAGCAGCCAUUUCCCUUAAUUGCCACCCUCCAACAUCUGCUCCAGUCUGAAAUCAGGAUAAGCAAAAACCUGGCCAUUUUGCCACAAGGUAAUGACAGAUAAAUGGAGAUAAGUAACAACGUUGGAGUAAAAAGUACAAAUCAAACCCUUUCAAACUCAGAAAUGGAGUCCCAUUUCCUGAAACACUGCUGUGCAAUUCUACAUGCUGUAAAUCAGGUUGUGAUAGACCACUGAGGGCAGCAGACAUCUUUGGCUGUGCUGCAGGUUAAAUUGGGCUAAGAUCUAUACUAGCUGUAAACCUGAAAGCAAAGCUAGAAUUCCUAACAGAUUAAAAAAAAAAAAAAAAAAAAAAAAAAAAAA
This is a long non-coding RNA of Gallus gallus (chicken), 2728 nucleotides long. RefSeq lists it as uncharacterized. The record is from RefSeq and is a predicted model, not a curated record. Lineage: Eukaryota; Metazoa; Chordata; Aves; Galliformes; Phasianidae. The transcript has 2 exons.